CGGGAUGGCUGGACGAUCGCGUGUCGCGCAAGCGGCCCGAGGAACGUCCGGGCUCCACAGAACAGGGUGGUGGGUAACGCCCACUCGGGGUAACCCGCAGGAUAGUGCCACAGAAAACAGACCGCCCGCCUCGUGCGGGUCAGGGUGAAAAGGUGGUGUAAGAGACCACCAGCGCCCCAGGUGACUGGGGCGGCUCGGUAAACCCCACCCGGAGCAAGGCCAGACAGGCUGCGUAUGAGGGCUGUUCGCCCCAGUAGUCGGGUAGGCCGCGUGAGGGCAUCGGCAACGGUGCUCCUAGAUGGAUGAUCGUCACCGGCAAUCGGGUAACCGCUGCCGGUACAGAACCCGGCGUACAGGCCAUCCCGUCCC
Molecule: non-coding RNA, 369 nt
Organism: Arthrobacter rhombi
Lineage: Bacteria; Bacillati; Actinomycetota; Actinomycetes; Micrococcales; Micrococcaceae
Source: Rfam